This is a long non-coding RNA of Helianthus annuus (common sunflower), 461 nucleotides long. RefSeq lists it as uncharacterized. The transcript is spliced from 2 exons. The record is from RefSeq and is a predicted model, not a curated record. Lineage: Eukaryota; Viridiplantae; Streptophyta; Magnoliopsida; Asterales; Asteraceae.
ACGAUUAAAAGGGCUAUAUUAUUUCAGUAAUAAUCCAAUGGCGGGAAACAAUGUGUGUCAUCAAGUGAUGAUACUACUGUAGCCAAAGAUUCAAAGCAGCAAUUCAUGACAAAAUCUUUGCCGGCACUUGAACCUAUUAGAGUGCACAUCCAAACACCCCUUAAGCUUCCCAAACACUUUGAUACCUUUGUAGGAAAAUGUCGGCCCUUGGUGCAAGUGUAUCAAAUGAGAAGCUAUUGUGGGUCCUGGUAUCGACAAAGAUGUAGCUCAUGAGUCCGUUGUUGGAUUAAUACCUGCCACUUUAGUUCCUAGGGAGAUCCUGCUGAUUAAAAAGAAGAACCCUGUGUUUAAGAAUUAUAAUGCUGGAAAUCCUACACCUGUUUUGUACAUAAAAAUAACGACUGAAAUUGCACAUCGUGCUCUGGUAUGGUUCUUAAUAUUAUUAUAUAUAUAAUUUGACA